RNAcentral lists this non-coding RNA (26 nucleotides) under Homo sapiens (human). Lineage: Eukaryota; Metazoa; Chordata; Mammalia; Primates; Hominidae. The record is from RNAcentral.
UCAAAACUAGUUGUGGCAGAGGGACC